AUGGCCAUGAAAAACGCGACGCAGCAGGUGGUCCGGGCCUUGGAGUCGUCCCUCACCAGGAGCCUUCAUGCGUCCCCGGGCAGCAAGAAGAUCGUGGGCGUGUUCUACAAGGGCGGCGAGUACGCGGGGCAGAACCCCAACUUCGUGGGGUGCGUGGAGAACGCGCUGGGCAUCCGCAGCUGGCUCGAGUCGCAGGGCCACCAGUACAUCGUCACCGACGACAAGGACGGCCCCAACUGCGAGCUGGAGAAGCACAUCGCGGACGCGCACGUGCUCAUCACCACGCCGUUCCACCCGGCGUACGUGAGCGCGGACCGGAUCAGGCGCGGCAAGAACCUGGAGCUGCUCCUCACGGCCGGGAUCGGCUCCGACCACAUCGAGCUGCCGGCGGCGGCGGCCGCGGGGCUCACCGUGGCCGAGGUCACGGGCAGCAACACGGUAUCGGUGGCGGAGGACCAGCUGAUGCGCAUCCUGGUCCUCAUGCGCAACUUCCUGCCGGGCCACCACCAGGCCAUCAGCGGGGAGUGGACCUCGCCGGCAUCGCGCACCGGGCCUACGACCUGGAGGGCAAGACGGUGGGCACCGUCGGCGCCGGCCGCAUCGGGAAGCUGCUGCUCCAGCGCCUCAAGCCCUUCGGCUGCAACCUGCUCUACCACGACAGGCUCCGCGUCGACGCCGCGCUCGAGGAGGAGCUCGGCGCCGCCUUCGAGGAGGACCUCGACGCCAUGCUGCCCAAGUGCGACGUCGUCGUGCUCAACAUGCCGCUCACCGAGAAGACAAAGGGGCAUGUUCAACAAGGAGAAGAUCGCCAAGAUGAAGAAAGGCGUCAUCAUCGUGAACAAUGCUCGUGGAGCGAUCAUGGAUACUCAGGCAGUGGCAGACGCUUGCAAGAGUGGGCACAUCGCUGGAUACGGCGGCGACGUGUGGUACCCGCAGCCGGCGCCCAAGGAGCACCCGUGGAGGUACAUGCCCAACAACGCCAUGACCCCGCACAUCUCCGGCACCACCAUCGACGGCCAGCUGAGGUACGCGGCCGGUUUGAAGGACAUGCUGGAGAGGUACUUCAAGGGGCAGGACUUCCCGGAGCCCAACUACAUUGUCAAGGAAGGCAAGCUCGCCAGCCAGUACCAGUGA
This 1134-nucleotide ribosomal RNA is filed under the name Triticum aestivum (bread wheat). RNAcentral's name for it is "partial small subunit ribosomal RNA". Lineage: Eukaryota; Viridiplantae; Streptophyta; Magnoliopsida; Poales; Poaceae. The record is from RNAcentral.